GAAUUCGAUUAACGCGAAGAACCUUACCUGGGCUCGAAAUGCAGAUGACAUCCGAUGAAAGUCGGCUCCCGCAAGGGCAUCUGUAUAGGUGCUGCAUGGCUGUCGUCAGCUCGUGUCGUAAGAUGUUGGGUUAAGUCCCGCAACGAGCGCAACCCUCGUCCUCUGUUGCCAUCAGGUCAAGCUGGGCACUCUGAGGAGACUGCCGGUGAUAAACCGGAGGAAGGUGGGGAUGACGUCAAGUCAGCAUGGCCUUUAUGUCCAGGGCCACACACGUGCUACAAUGGCGGAUACAAAGCGCUGCAAGCCCGCGAGGGUGAGCCAAUCGCAUAAAGUCCGUCUCAGUUCGGAUUGCAGGCUGCAACUCGCCUGCAUGAAGUUGGAAUCGCUAGUAAUCGCGGAUCAGCAUGCCGCGGUGAAUACGUUCCCGGGCCUUGUCACACCGAAUCACUA
This 450-nucleotide ribosomal RNA is filed under the name uncultured soil bacterium. RNAcentral describes it as "bacterial SSU rRNA". It matches the Rfam family "Bacterial small subunit ribosomal RNA", at positions 947 to 1384 of the family's 1533-position model. The record is from RNAcentral.